RNAcentral lists this ribosomal RNA (3180 nucleotides) under Chloroflexota bacterium. RNAcentral's name for it is "Chloroflexi bacterium partial 23S ribosomal RNA". It matches the Rfam family "Bacterial large subunit ribosomal RNA", at positions 1038 to 2925 of the family's 2925-position model. Lineage: Bacteria; Bacillati; Chloroflexota. The record is from RNAcentral.
GCUAAGGUCCCGAAAUCCAGGUUAAGUGGCAAAGGAUGUUGGAUCGCUCAGACAACCAGGAUGUUGGCUUAGAAGCAGCCAUCAUUGAAAGAGUGCGUAACAGCUCACUGGUCGAGUGGUCCAGCGCCGAAAAUCCAACGGGGCUCAAACCUGGUACCGAAGCUACGGAUUCACGAUCCACUGCGGUGGAUCGAGAGUGGUAGGGGAGCGUUCCAUGCGCAGUGAAGGUGGACCGUGAGGACCGCUGGAGCUCAUGGAAGUGCGAAUGCCGGAACGAGUAGCGAAAUGUGCGUGAGAAACGCACACGCCGUAUGCCUAAGGUUUCCUGAGGAAGGUUAAUCCGCUCAGGGUCAGUCGGUCCUAAGUCGAGGCCUAAAGGCGUAGACGAUGGAUGUCCGGUCUACAUUCCGGAACCGCUCGAGACCGCUAUCAGCGAAGGGGUGACCCGAUCUGGUAGUCCCAGCGCACUUUGGCUAUGUGCGUCUAAGCUCGUAACCAUCCCUUGAUAGGUAAAUCCGUCGAGGGGAUAAGGUGAAAAGCGAAUGCGAGCUCCAGCAAUGGAGCGAGUGGGAUGAGCCAAGUCGGCGAGAAAAGCCUCUAGCGAGGUCGAGAGUGACCGUACCGCAAACCGACGCAGGUAGGCGGGUGGAGUACACCAAGGCGAUCGGGAGAACCCUCCUAAAGGAACUCUGCAAAAUGACCCCGUAACUUCGGGAGAAGGGGUGCCUCGCGCGCCCUCGCUUUACCGCGAGGGGAAGCGAUCGAGGCCUCAGAUAAACGGGCCAAGCGACUGUUUAACAAAAACACAGGUCUCUGCGAAGGGGAAACCCUACGUAUAGGGGCUGACGCCUGCCCAGUGCCGGAAGGUUAAUGGGAGAGCUGAAAGGCUUGAACUGAAGCCCCGGUGAACGGCGGCCGUAACUAUGACCAAGACCGUUGUAGUUCCGAGAACAAAUCUGGCUAUUUGCUGGGAUACCCGAGCAUCCUGCGCUACCUCUUGUCACGGCGUCGCCGUUUGACUAUGAGGUGACAAUGCGACAGGUGCGGGCAAUCAGCAGGAAAGACUCCGAGCCCGCGGAUUUCGAUGUUGAAGCCAUCACCGAUGCCGUCGGCCACUACCUGGCCGGCUUCGCGAACGGUGAGGGCAGCUUCAACCUCUCGUUCCGCCCACGUGGCGAUUAUCGCCAGCCGUGGAAGAUCUCCCUCUGCUUCAACGUCUCACAACGGGAUCCCGCUGUGUUACUUCUGCUUCGCGAGCAAUUGCGAUGCGGAACGAUGCGGCAGCGCACGGACGGUGUCUGGUAUUACGAGGUGAACAACCUGGCCGACAUCGAGCGCCACGUGAUUCCGUUCUUCAGACGGUUCGGCUUUCUUGCGCCGACCAAGCAGCGUGAUUUCGCCAAGUUCUGCGAACUCACGGCGCUCAUCCUCCAACGACGACACCUGACGCCCGAAGGCGUCCGAGAGAUCUUGGAGAUACGCAGGGACAUGAACGAUGGCGGCAAGCGCCGCUACACCGAGGAGGAGAUCCUCGCGCGAUGCAAUAUCGGAGAAUCCUCAGAGACUGCACGCCAGACGCCGGCACAAGCGCCGGCGAUGAGAUAGUCCGAACUGCACGGCGACGUGCAGAGUGGGUGUGAACCCCACCCUCCAGCGCUGGAGCGCAACAGAUGAACGGUCCUAAGGUAGCGAAAUUCCUUGUCGGGUAAGUCCACAGCUUGCCCCGAAGUGGAGCGAUCUACUUCGUCCCAACCGGCUCAUAUCGGCGGAGCCCACACGUGUCUUGCGGAAGAUGCGCGGGUAAUGCCGAGGGAAGUCCUCGUGACCCCGUAACGACUGUCUCGCGCGCGAUCUUGUGCGCGAGCGGUGGCGCUCACCACUCAAUCGGAGUGAAUCCACGAACGCCACAACACGCCGGCAUCUGAAGAUCAGAUGAACGCAUAGUCUGCGCCGCUCGAAAGAGCGAACAGCGUGAAGUUCCGACCCGCACGAAAGGCGUAACGACUUGGCCGCUGUCUCUAGGAGGGACCCGGCGAAACUGAGAUACCCGUGAAGACGCGGGUUACGCACACUUGGACAAAAAGACCCCGUGGAGCUUUACUGCAUCUUGGCAUUGGACUGGGGUUACGCUUGUGUAGCAUAGGUGGGAGACUAUGAAGCCGGCGCGCUAGCGUCGGUGGAGUCACCAGUGAAAUACCACCCUUGCGUGACUUCGGCUCUAACGGCUGUCCGUGAUCCGGCAGCCGGACAUUGCCAGGUGGGCAGUUUGACUGGGGCGGUCGCCUCCCAAAAGGUAACGGAGGCGCCCAAAGGUACCCUCAGGCUGGGUGGAAAUCAGCUUUAGAGUGCAAAGGCAUAAGGGUGCUUGACUGUGAGGCUUACACGCCGAGCAGGGACGAAAGUCGGGCUUAGUGACCUUCUGGUCCCGAGUGGAAGGGCCAGGAAUCAUCGGAUAAAAGCUACCCCGGGGAUAACAGGCUUAUCACGCCCAAGCGUUCACAGCGACGGCGUGGUUUGGCACCUCAAUUUGGGGUGAGGUCGUGGCAACACGAUCAAGGAACCGGCUUAUAACGGUGGACUCCUCAUCGAGGACAACACCGUGGGAAGUCUGUCGAAAGACAUGACCCUGUAACGACUGAUCCGUCUCGCAGAGAGACGGUGAGAUGGUGAUCAGGCUUCGCACGAAGUCAGAUCGCGAUCGCCAUCAGACGCCGGCCCCUCUCGAUCCAAGAGGGUGAAGAGAUAGUCUGCACCGUCGGUAACGACGGAGAUUGCGCGAUGUCGGCUCGUCGCAUCCUGGGGGGGCAGUACCUCCCAAGGGUUGGGCUGUUCGCCCAUUAAAGCGGUACGCGAGCUGGGUUCAGAACGUUGUGAAACAGUUCGGUCUCUAUCCAGUGUGCGCGCAGGUGAGUUGAGAGGAGUUGCCCCCAGUACGAGAGGACCGGGGUGAGCGGACCGAUGGUGUACGAGUUGUCCUGCCAAGGGCAUCGCUCGGUAGCUAUGUCCGUUCCGGAUAACCGCUGAAAGCAUCUAAGUGGGAAGCCGACCUCAAGAUGAGCUCACCCUCUGGGUCAACCAGGUAAGACCGCACGUAGACCACGUGUUUGAUAGGCGGCAGGUGGAAGGAUCGCAAGAUCUGGAGCUAAGCCGUACUAACGGUCGAGAGGCUUGACCUAAUUU